RNAcentral lists this ribosomal RNA (460 nucleotides) under uncultured bacterium. Its description in RNAcentral is "partial 16S ribosomal RNA". It matches the Rfam family "Bacterial small subunit ribosomal RNA", at positions 338 to 795 of the family's 1533-position model. The record is from RNAcentral.
CCUACGGGAGGCUGCAGUGAGGAAUAUUGGUCAAUGGACGAGAGUCUGAACCAGCCAAGUAGCGUGAAGGAUGACUGCCCUAUGGGUUGUAAACUUCUUUUAUAAAGGAAUAAAACGAGGCACGUGUGCCUUUUUGCAUGUACUUUAUGAAUAAGGAUCGGCUAACUCCGUGCCAGCAGCCGCGGUAAUACGGAGGAUCCGAGCGUUAUCCGGAUUUAUUGGGUUUAAAGGGAGCGUAGAUGGGUUGUUAAGUCAGUUGUGAAAGUUUGCGGCUCAACCGUAAAAUUGCAAUUGAUACUGGCAGUCUUGAGUACAGGUGAGGUAGGCGGAAUUCGUGGUGUAGCGGUGAAAUGCUUAGAUAUCACGAAGAACCCCGAUUGCGAAGGCAGCCUACUAAACUGUGACUGACAUUGAUGCUCGAAAGUGUGGGUAUCAAACAGGAUUAGAUACCCUUGUAGUC